GACGAACGCUGGCGGCGUGCUUAACACAUGCAAGUCGAACGGAAAGGCCCUGCUUUUGUGGGGUGCUCGAGUGGCGAACGGGUGAGUAACACGUGAGUAACCUGCCCUUGACUUUGGGAUAACUUCAGGAAACUGGGGCUAAUACCGGAUAGGAGCUCCUGCUGCAUGGUGGGGGUUGGAAAGUUUCGGCGGUUGGGGAUGGACUCGCGGCUUAUCAGCUUGUUGGUGGGGUAGUGGCUUACCAAGGCUUUGACGGGUAGCCGGCCUGAGAGGGUGACCGGCGGCCACGGUGCGACUGAGCUGCCGAGAAGACUACGGCGGGCAGCAGUGGGGAAUAUUGCACAAUGGGCGGAAGCCUGAUGCAGCAACGCCGCGUGCGGGAUGACGGCCUUCGGGUUGUAAACCGCUUUCGCCUGUGACGAAGCGUGAGUGACGGUAAUGGGUAAAGAAGCACCGGCUAACUACGUG
This 468-nucleotide ribosomal RNA is filed under the name uncultured bacterium. RNAcentral's name for it is "partial 16S ribosomal RNA". It matches the Rfam family "Bacterial small subunit ribosomal RNA", at positions 28 to 507 of the family's 1533-position model. The record is from RNAcentral.